GUGCUGUAAUAAAUAUUCACUUUCUUUCUGGCAUGCUGCAGAGCUAGUUUUAAACAUACCUGUAAUUUCACUGCCAUACAUUAAAAUGGGUUUUAUUGUAUGGUCAUAUAUAUGUAAUAGAGUAGAAAUACUUGGAUUGGAAGAUGAUAAAGAUCUUUGCAAUUUGAAUACAGCUUUUAGUGAUUUUUUGUAUAAUUCUUCCUUUCCUUGCUUAAAAAGUCCACUAGAUAUAAAUUUUAAACCUAAAUACUUAUAAUUGUUAACACAUUCUAUUGUAUCUUUUUCGAAUAAAAAUAUUCUUUUAAAA
RNAcentral lists this long non-coding RNA (307 nucleotides) under Mytilus galloprovincialis (Mediterranean mussel). The record is from RNAcentral. Lineage: Eukaryota; Metazoa; Mollusca; Bivalvia; Mytilida; Mytilidae.